CCCAGGCAAAGCUAAGUUCCACAGAGAACCACUCAGCCAUGUAGAAGUUGGAAGUCCUGGAGAGGGUUCAAAUGCUAUUACUCAGUAAUAUAAACGCAAAAGGGAAAAUGACAGCCUUCAGGAAGAUACUGCCUAUGGAACUAAAAAGAAGGAAAACAAAUUGAGAUACAAGGAAUAUAAAACAGCAUUUCAGAAAUUAGCUUUUCUAAGAUAAACAUUCAAAGGACGUUAUUAUGAUCUGGUUGCGUGCAAAGAUGAAAUAAGGAGAUGUUGAUAUCAAUAGGACCACAGAGCUGGGCUAACCCUGGUGUGGACAUUGGGAGCCUGGGGAUCACGUUGUGGCUGCAGGAUUGGAAAGUCCCCAUGAGUAAGCACAUGAGACAAUGAGCGGGGAAGUCCUACCCUGUGGGUAAAAUGAAGUCCCAAGAAAAUACUGUUCCUGUGGAAAUCCCAUAUCCAGUGGUUUCCUUUUCUUUUCUGCCUGCCUCAUGACCAGACUCAACCCGGAAUGUGAGACUAAGAGAAGAUAAGAGCAAUGGAUCUGCUGCCUAAUUUGUGAAAGUUUACACAACCUUUCUACGUGAAGAAUAUUGCAACUUUAAAAACAGCAUGAAAAAUUUUGUUACAUUAGGAUGCAAAAAGGGCGUGGUGGCUUAUGCCUGUAAUCCCAGCAUUUUUGGAGGCUGAGGCAGGAGGAUCAUCUGAGGUCAGGAGUUUGAUACCACCGUGGCCAACAUGGUGAAUCCCUGUUUCUACUAAAAAUACAAAAAAUUAGCUGGGUGUGGUGGUGCAUGCCUGUAGUUGCCUGAUUGAGUAUCCCAACACCUAACACACACAUGUGCACAUGCACACACACACCCAUGGCAAGUGAGAGAGAGAGAACCAUUUAACAAUGACUGAAGAUUAAUUGGUCUCAGGAAUUUAAAAUAACUUCUGUACAGCCAUUAGCUGGCUACUGAAAUAACUGAGCAGAGACAUCAGUGGCCACAAAUGACAAAUAACACA
Molecule: long non-coding RNA, 1005 nt
Filed under: Homo sapiens (human)
Lineage: Eukaryota; Metazoa; Chordata; Mammalia; Primates; Hominidae
Description: HSALNT0036741
Source: RNAcentral